GUGGGGAAUAUUGGGCAAUGGGCGAAAGCCUGACCCAGCAACGCCGCGUGAGGGAAGAAGGCCUUCGGGUUGUAAACCUCUGUCCUUGGUGACGAAAAAAAUGACGGUAGCCAAGGAGGAAGCCCCGGCUAACUACGUGCCAGCAGCCGCGGUAAUACGUAGGGGGCGAGCGUUGUCCGGAAUUACUGGGCGUAAAGGGUGCGUAGGUGGCCUUUUGAGUUGGAUGUGAAAUACCCGGGCUUAACUUGGGGGGUGCAUGUAAUACUGGAGGGCUAGAGUGCAGGAGAGGGAAGCGGAAUUCCUGGCGUGGCGGUGAAAUGCGUAGAUAUUAGGAGGAACACCAGUGGCGAAGGCGGCUUUCUGGACUGUAACUGACACUGAGGCACGAAAGCGUGGGGAGCAAACAGGAUUAGAUACCCGAGUAGUCC
RNAcentral lists this ribosomal RNA (428 nucleotides) under uncultured bacterium. RNAcentral's name for it is "partial 16S ribosomal RNA". It matches the Rfam family "Bacterial small subunit ribosomal RNA", at positions 354 to 796 of the family's 1533-position model. The record is from RNAcentral.